Molecule: long non-coding RNA, 540 nt
Organism: Coregonus clupeaformis (lake whitefish)
Lineage: Eukaryota; Metazoa; Chordata; Actinopteri; Salmoniformes; Salmonidae
Exons: 3
Source: RefSeq, a predicted model, not a curated record
AGUCCCUGUGCAGAGCCCUGGAUGGAGAGCUGGACCUCAGUGAGACCAGGCUGGACCAGAAGGCCUGUGGAUCUCUGGCCCUGGUUCUGGAACACUCAGAGGGGCUGUCAGAACUGGACCUCAGCCACUGUCAACUCACAGACCACCACCUACAGGCCCUGAUCACACACCUGCACAAAGUACAAGUCCUGGACCUGAGUCACAAUGACAUCACUGAUGCUCUGACUGACAGAAUACUCCAACUGGUCUCCACCAACACUUCAAUACACACCGUACGACUCUUCAACAACAGAAUCCAGGACAGAAGACCCUUCCUGACAGACAAGAGGUUUGAGAUCUGGUGAAGAUAAUGUUGUAUAAUGACAGUAUAAUGUGGUCAAUGUAGAAGGCUGGUUUGAGAUCUGGUGAAGAUAAUGUUGUAUAAUGACAGUAUAAUGUGGUCAAUGUAUAUAGAAGGCUGGUUCAAAAUCACACUGAUUGAUCUGAGUCCAGAAAAAUAGUCUUAGGGACAGGAAUGUAUCAUCUGGUAGACAGACGUCU